Molecule: ribosomal RNA, 85 nt
Filed under: Trichoderma brevicompactum
Lineage: Eukaryota; Fungi; Ascomycota; Sordariomycetes; Hypocreales; Hypocreaceae
Description: partial 28S ribosomal RNA
Source: RNAcentral
UGACUCUUUGAGGUAGGAAACCCGCUGAAUUCAUCUACUGAACCCCAGGAAACUUACGAGUUACACUCCAACCCAUGUGACUUAC